GAUGAACGCUGGCGGCGUGCCUAAUACAUGCAAGUCGAGCGAACGGACGAGAAGCUUGCUUCUCUGAUGUUAGCGGCGGACGGGUGAGUCACACGUGGAUAACCUACCUAUAAGACUGGGAUAACUUCGGGACACCGGAGCUAAUACCGGAUAAUAUUUUGAACCGCAUGGUUCAAAAGAGAAAGACGGUCUUGCUGUCACUUAUAGAUGGUUCCGCGCUGCAUUAGCUAGUUGGUAAGGUAACGGCUUACCAAGGCAACGAUGCAUAGCCGACCUGAGAGGGGGAUCGGCCACACUGGAACUGAGACACGGUCCAGAGUCCUACGGGAGGCAGCAGUAGGGAAUCUUAGGCAAUGGGCGAAAGCCUGACGGAGCAACGCCGCGUGAGUGAUGAAGGUCUUCGGAGCGUAAAGCUCUGUUAUGAGUGAAGAACAUAUGUGUAAGGAACUGUGGACAUCUUGACGGUACCUAAUCAGAAAGCCACGGCUAACUACGUG
This 497-nucleotide ribosomal RNA is filed under the name uncultured bacterium. Its description in RNAcentral is "partial 16S ribosomal RNA". It matches the Rfam family "Bacterial small subunit ribosomal RNA", at positions 28 to 507 of the family's 1533-position model. The record is from RNAcentral.